UAGAGUUUGAUCCUGGCUCAGGAUGAACGCUAGCUACAGGCUUAACACAUGCAAGUCGAGGGGCAGCGAGGGUUAGAGCUUGCUCUAAUCCGUCGGCGACCGGCGCACGGGUGAGUAACACGUAUGCAACCUACCUCUAACAGGGGGAUAAUCGGCGGAAACGCCGUCUAAAACCGCGUAUGAUACUGAGAGGCAUCUUUCGGUGUUGAAAGAAUUUUGGUUAGAGAUGGGCAUGCGGCGCAUUAGCUAGUUGGCGGGGUAACGGCCCACCAAGGCGACGAUGCGUAGGGGUUCUGAGAGGAAGGUCCCCCACACUGGUACUGAGACACGGACCAGACUCCUACGGGAGGCAGCAGUGAGGAAUAUUGGUCAAUGGGCGCGAGCCUGAACCAGCCAAGUCGCGUGAGGGAAGACUGCCCUAAGGGUUGUAAACCUCUUUUGUCGGGGAGCAACGGCAUCACGUGUGAUGCUCUGAGAGUACCCGAAGAAAAAGCAUCGGCUAACUCCGUGCCAGCAGCCGCGGUAAUACGGAGGAUGCGAGCGUUAUCCGGAUUUAUUGGGUUUAAAGGGUGCGUAGGCGGGAUUUCAAGUCAGCGGUAAAAUCGUGGGGCUCAACCUCAUCCGGCCGUUGAAACUGGAGUUCUAGAGUGAGUGAGAGGUAUGCGGAAUGCGUGGUGUAGCGGUGAAAUGCAUAGAUAUCACGCAGAACACCGAUUGCGAAGGCAGCAUACCGGUGCUCAACUGACGCUGAGGCACGAAAGCGUGGGGAUCAAAUAGGAUUAGAUACCCUGGUAGUCCACGCAGUAAACGAUGAAUACUACCUGUUCGGUCCGAUUAGGGAUUGAGCGGGACAGCGAAAGCGUUAAGUAUUCCACCUGGGGAGUACGCCGGCAACGGUGAAACUCAAAGGAAUUGACGGGGGCCCGCACAAGCGGAGGAACAUGUGGUUUAAUUCGAUGAUACGCGAGGAACCUUACCCGGGCUCAAACGACUUAGGAAUAACUUUGAAAGGAGUUAGCCGGCAACGGUCUGAGUCGAGGUGCUGCAUGGUUGUCGUCAGCUCGUGCCGUGAGGUGUCGGCUUAAGUGCCAUAACGAGCGCAACCCCUAUCGAUAGUUGCUAACGAGUUAAGUUGAGGACUCUAUCGAGACUGCCGGCGCAAGCUGCGAGGAAGGCGGGGAUGACGUCAAAUCAGCACGGCCCUUACGUCCGGGGCGACACACGUGUUACAAUGGCGGGGACAGCGGGAAGCCACCUGGCGACAGGGCGCGGAACCCGAAACCUCGUCUCAGUUCGGAUUGGAGUCUGCAACUCGACUCCAUGAAGCUGGAUUCGCUAGUAAUCGCGCAUCAGCCAUGGCGCGGUGAAUACGUUCCCGGGCCUUGUACUCACCGCCCGUCA
This 1401-nucleotide ribosomal RNA is filed under the name uncultured bacterium. RNAcentral describes it as "16S ribosomal RNA". It matches the Rfam family "Bacterial small subunit ribosomal RNA". The record is from RNAcentral.